GCCAGGCACUGUGGAGCACGCCUGUAAUCCCAGUGGCUCGGGAGGCUGAGGCAGGAGGAUCACGAGUCCAAAACCAGCCUCAGCAAAAGCAAGGCACUAAGCAACUCAGUGAGACCCUGUCUCUA
Molecule: small RNA, 125 nt
Filed under: Marmota monax (woodchuck)
Lineage: Eukaryota; Metazoa; Chordata; Mammalia; Rodentia; Sciuridae
Source: RNAcentral